UGGGUUGGAAAAGCACGGAUGCCCUCUUCGAAAGAGGAGUAGGCUGCCUUCGGGUGAAACGUGGUUCAGGUGUUGCAUGGCUGUCGUCAGCUCGUGCUGUGAAGUGUUGGGUUAAGUCCCUUAACGAGCGAAACCCCUGUCGCUAGUUGCCAGCGGUUCGGCCGGGGACUCUAGCGAGACCGCCGGCGUUAAGCCGGAGGAAGGUGGGGACGACGUCAAGUCAUCAUGGCCCUUAAGCCCAGGGUGUCACACGUGCUACAAUGGGCGCUACAGAGCGAAGCGAUACCGCGAGGUGGAGCAAAUCGCAAAAAAGCGUCCUCAGUUCGGAUUGGAGUCUGCAAUUCGACUCCAUGAAGUUGGAAUCGCUAGUAAUCGCGUAUCAGCCACGACGCGGUGAAUGUGUUCCUGAGCCU
Molecule: ribosomal RNA, 413 nt
Filed under: uncultured bacterium
Lineage: Bacteria
Description: bacterial SSU rRNA
Rfam family: Bacterial small subunit ribosomal RNA
Source: RNAcentral